RNAcentral lists this ribosomal RNA (719 nucleotides) under uncultured bacterium. RNAcentral describes it as "bacterial SSU rRNA". It matches the Rfam family "Bacterial small subunit ribosomal RNA", at positions 138 to 857 of the family's 1533-position model. The record is from RNAcentral.
GGGGGAUAACACUUAGAAAUAGGUGCUAAUACCGCAUAAGCGCACGGUUCCGCAUGGAACAGUGUGAAAAACUCCGGUGGUAUACGAUGGAUCCGCGUCUGAUUAGCCAGUUGGCGGGGUAACGGCCCACCAAAGCGACGAUCAGUAGCCGGCCUGAGAGGGUGAGCGGCCACAUUGGGACUGAGACACGGCCCAAACUCCUACGGGAGGCAGCAGUGGGGAAUAUUGCACAAUGGGGGAAACCCUGAUGCAGCGACGCCGCGUGAGUGAAGAAGUAUUUCGGUACGUAAAGCUCUAUCAGCAGGGAAGAAAAAAAGUCCUUUGGACUUUGGACGGUACCUGACCAAGAAGCCCCGGCUAACUACGUGCCAGCAGCCGCGGUAAUACGUAGGGGGCAAGCGUUAUCCGGAUUUACUGGGUGUAAAGGGAGCGUAGACGGCAGCGCAAGUCUGGAGUGAAAUGCCGGGGCCCAACCCCGGAACUGCUUUGGAAACUGUGCAGCUCGAGUGCAGGAGAGGUAAGCGGAAUUCCUAGUGUAGCGGUGAAAUGCGUAGAUAUUAGGAGGAACACCAGUGGCGAAGGCGGCUUACUGGACUGUAACUGACGUUGAGGCUCGAAAGCGUGGGGAGCAAACAAGAUUAGAUACCCUGGUAGUCCACGCCGUAAACGAUGAUUAAUAGGUGUCGGGGGGCCAAGGCCCUUCGGUGCCGCCGCAAACG